GGACUACCGGGGUUUCUAAUCCUGUUCGCUCCCCACGCUUUCGCGCCUCAGCGUCAGUAUGAUGCCAGGUGGCUGCCUUCGCCAUCGACGUUCCUUCCGAUCUCUACGCAUUUCACCGCUACACCGGAAAUUCCGCCACCCUCUCAUCUACUCCAGUCAUGUCGUUUGCGAUGCACUUCCCAGGUUAAGCCCGGGGCUUUCACAUCACACUCACAUCACCGCCUACGCGCCCUUUACGCCCAGUAACUCCGAUUAACGCUUGCACCCUCUGUAUUACCGCGGCUGCUGGCAC
This 292-nucleotide ribosomal RNA is filed under the name uncultured bacterium. Its description in RNAcentral is "partial 16S ribosomal RNA". The record is from RNAcentral.